UUCAAUUGAAUUAUGUUGUGCACUUUUAAAAAACAAUUUUUACAAUAAAAAGUUGACCUCUAAGUUGGUGAGAGUUGGGCGAUCAUUCAUAUACACGAAAUGCUGUACGUGUUACUGGGUGUGUAGAAGAGACGUAGGGGAUGAGCGAAAAAAUUGAUGGUCGCGCCGUUAUUGAAUAACGCUAAAAAUAGAGAAAACAUGUACAUACACGGUCAUGCAAACCUCAGCAUCUCGCGAAAUAGAUCAGAACAGUUGAUAAGGAAGUUCAUGGACAAUGUAAACUUUGACCUUUAUAUCUUAGAUAUAAAGACCUUUAGUAACCUUUAUAUCUAAAGAUAAAGAAUUUUUAAUUAAAUAUUACGGUGUCAAUAUAACUUUAAUAUAAUUAUAACGUCAAUAUAAUAUCAACAUAAUUGAAUGCAUUUAAGCAUCUUAAAAAAAAUUAAUGCCAUUAAUGGGCUGAAUCUAAAACUUCUAGAGGUUCAACCCAGUAAACAAGAAACAUCGACCAAUGUUUUCAAUUUUUCUUGCUUAAAUCGAUAGUAUUUUAUCCAUAGAACAUCCCUGCUCAAAAUGUUCAAUAGAAACUGAUAGAAACAUAUGGAAAUUUGAUAGAAAUUUGAUAUGAUUUUAUCUGAAUCUAUCAUUUCUAUCGGAUACUAGAUUUCCUGCUAGAUAGAAAAGUUAUAAAAUUCUAUCGUUUCUUAUCGUAUCUGAAUUAAACGAUUAAAACUUUAUCUGAAUAUGAAUACUUUUCUAUAUGAUCUUAUCUAGUUAUCUUACUGAAAGUUACGUGUAAGCAUCGUCCACGUAUUUUAGGAAUGCACUUAGACAGAAUUAAGAUAUAUUGUUAUUAAGCAUAAAACUACUUAUCAUCUACGGAAUGCACUUACAGAGGAUUAGAGAUAUACUCCUAAUGUAUAUUUUCCAUUAUUCUGUUUUUAAGAAGUACUUUACAUUGUUCUCCUCUGAGUGUAUGGAAUUUCCCUUUUUUUCUAGUAAACAUAAUACGUCAUUCUACCCAUAUAAAUAGAGCACCCUUCGACGACAGAGUCGGUUCUCUCAGUUAAUAGUUCACAGUACGUAGUACUCAGAAUCACGUAGUUAUAAGUAAUAAUUGUAAAAAUUUGUGAAAUAAAGUUUUUUUUUUAUAAGAAG
Molecule: long non-coding RNA, 1158 nt
Organism: Monomorium pharaonis (pharaoh ant)
Lineage: Eukaryota; Metazoa; Arthropoda; Insecta; Hymenoptera; Formicidae
Exons: 2
Source: RefSeq, a predicted model, not a curated record